UGCGUAGGCGGAUAAAUAAGUCAGUGGUGAAAUCUUCCGGCUCAACCGGGAAACUGCCAUUGAUACUGUUUAUCUUGAGUUCGGUAGAGGUAGGCGGAAUGUGUAAUGUAGCGGUGAAAUGCUUAGAUAUUACACAGAACACCAAUUGCGUAGGCAGCUUACUAUGCCGCCACUGACGCUGAGGCACGAAAGCGUGGGGAGCGAACAGGAUUAGAUACCCUGGUAGUCC
Molecule: ribosomal RNA, 229 nt
Filed under: uncultured bacterium
Lineage: Bacteria
Description: partial 16S ribosomal RNA
Rfam family: Bacterial small subunit ribosomal RNA
Source: RNAcentral